Non-coding RNA from Cavia porcellus (domestic guinea pig), 571 nucleotides. NCBI's taxonomy places the organism in Eukaryota, Metazoa, Chordata, Mammalia, Rodentia, Caviidae. The record is from the annotation of a RefSeq genome assembly.
UAACAGGUAAAACCACCAAUCAGGGUCAUGGAAGUCAAUUCUAGCUUCCUCACUCAGGCUAUGCUACCUAGAGGAUGCCCAUCUGAGACCUGACUCCACCAUGAGCUGCAGGCUUCUCUGCAGUGUGACCCUCUGUCUCCUUGGUGUAGUCCCCAUGAACAGCACAAUUAUCCAGACACCAAGAUAUCUGGUUAUGGGAACAGCAAACAAGAAGUCUUUAAAAUGUGAACAACAUCUGGGACAUGAUGCCAUGUACUGGUAUAAACAGAAUGCUAAAAAUCCUCCAGAGCUCAUGUUUGUUUACAGCUUUCAGAAACUGACCCAAAAUGAAACAGUGCCUAGCCGCUUCUCACCUUGGUGCUCAGAAAAAACUCAUAUGUACCUUAACUUGACUGCUUUGCACCCAGAAGAUUCAGCAGUGUACCUCUGUGCCAGCAGCGAAGACACAGCCAUGCAGAGCAACUGCCUCCCUGUGCACAAAUCUGUGGGCCCACCAGGGAAGCUUUGGGGGCAAAUGAGGGCUCUGAUGCACAUUUCCUGUAGGGUUUCCUUGUAAACUGUUAUGCAAACC